UGGGGAAUAUUGGACAAUGGGCGCAAGCCUGAUCCAGCGACGCCGCGUGGGGGAGGAAGGCCUUCGGGUUGUAAACCCCUGUCGUCCGGGAAGAAAAGCCGUCUGCGAACAGUGGACGGUCUUGACGGUACCGGAGGAGGAAGCCCCGGCUAACUACGUG
This 160-nucleotide ribosomal RNA is filed under the name uncultured bacterium. Its description in RNAcentral is "partial 16S rRNA". It matches the Rfam family "Bacterial small subunit ribosomal RNA", at positions 355 to 507 of the family's 1533-position model. The record is from RNAcentral.